UCCGGCUUAUCACCGGCGGUUUCUUUUGAGUGCCCAACUAAAUGAUGGCAACUAAAGACGAGGGUUGCGCUCGUUGCGGGACUUAACCCAACAUCUCACGACACGAGCUGACGACAGCCAUGCAGCACCUGUGCAUGGACUCCGAAGAGGGCCUGCCGUCUCUGGCAGGUUUCCCAUGCAUGUCAAGCCUAGGUAAGGUUCUUCGCGUUGCGUCGAAUUAAACCACAUGCUCCACCGCUUGUGCGGGCCCCCGUCAAUUCCCUUGAGUUUCAGCCUUGCGGCCGUACUCCCCAGGCGGGGCACUUACUGCGUUAGCGACGGCACUCAGAGGGUCGCUCCCCCAAGCACCUAGUGCCCAUCGUUUACGGCGUGGACUAC
This 378-nucleotide unclassified non-coding RNA is filed under the name uncultured Gemmatimonadaceae bacterium. RNAcentral's name for it is "contains 16S-23S intergenic spacer region". The record is from RNAcentral. Lineage: Bacteria; Pseudomonadati; Gemmatimonadota; Gemmatimonadia; Gemmatimonadales; Gemmatimonadaceae.